Molecule: ribosomal RNA, 575 nt
Filed under: uncultured bacterium
Lineage: Bacteria
Description: partial 16S ribosomal RNA
Rfam family: Bacterial small subunit ribosomal RNA
Source: RNAcentral
UGGGGAAUUUUGGACAAUGGGCGAAAGCCUGAUCCAGCAAUGCCGCGUGUGUGAAGAAGGCCUUCGGGUUGUAAAGCACUUUUGUCCGGAAAGAAAUCCUUGGCUCUAAUACAGUCGGGGGAUGACGGUACCGGAAGAAUAAGCACCGGCUAACUACGUGCCAGCAGCCGCGGUAAUACGUAGGGUGCAAGCGUUAAUCGGAAUUACUGGGCGUAAAGCGUGCGCAGGCGGUUUGCUAAGACCGAUGUGAAAUCCCCGGGCUCAACCUGGGAACUGCAUUGGUGACUGGCAGGCUAGAGUAUGGCAGAGGGGGGUAGAAUUCCACGUGUAGCAGUGAAAUGCGUAGAGAUGUGGAGGAAUACCGAUGGCGAAGGCAGCCCCCUGGGCCAAUACUGACGCUCAUGCACGAAAGCGUGGGGAGCAAACAGGAUUAGAUACCCUGGUAGUCCACGCCCUAAACGAUGUCAACUAGUUGUUGGGGAUUCAUUUCCUUAGUAACGUAGCUAGCGCGUGAAGUUGACCGCCUGGGGAGUACGGUCGCAAGAUUAAAACUCAAAUGAAUUGACGGGGUCAUA